RNAcentral lists this ribosomal RNA (465 nucleotides) under uncultured bacterium. Its description in RNAcentral is "partial 16S ribosomal RNA". It matches the Rfam family "Bacterial small subunit ribosomal RNA", at positions 28 to 507 of the family's 1533-position model. The record is from RNAcentral.
GACGAACGCUGGCGGCGUGCUUAACACAUGCAAGUCGUACGGUAAGGCCCUUUCGGGGGUACACGAGUGGCGAACGGGUGAGUAACACGUGAGUAACCUGCCCACAACUUUGGGAUAACGCUAGGAAACUGGUGCUAAUACUGGAUAUGUGCUCCUGCUGCAUGGUGGGGGUUGGAAAGCUCCGGCGGUUGUGGAUGGUCUCGCGGCCUAUCAGCUUGUUGGUGGGGUAGUGGCCUACCAAGGCGGCGACGGGUAGCCGGCCUGAGAGGGUGACCGGCCACAUUGGGACUGAGAUACGGCCCAGACUCCUACGGGAGGCAGCAGUGGGGAAUAUUGCACAAUGGGCGCAAGCCUGCUGCAGCAACGCCGCGUGCGGGAUGACGGCCUUCGGGUUGUAAACCGCUUUCAGCAGGGACGAAGCUUUUUGUGACGGUACCUGCAGAAGAAGCACCGGCUAACUACGUG